Molecule: transfer RNA, 71 nt
Filed under: Actinomycetes bacterium
Lineage: Bacteria; Bacillati; Actinomycetota; Actinomycetes
Description: Actinobacteria bacterium tRNA-Ser
Source: RNAcentral
GGGGGAGUGGCGAGUUGGCCGAAUCUGCAUUCACACUGCAGAGGUCACUGGUUCGAUCCCAGUAUCGCCCA